Molecule: ribosomal RNA, 437 nt
Filed under: uncultured Oscillospiraceae bacterium
Lineage: Bacteria; Bacillati; Bacillota; Clostridia; Eubacteriales; Oscillospiraceae
Description: partial 16S ribosomal RNA
Rfam family: Bacterial small subunit ribosomal RNA
Source: RNAcentral
ACGGGAGGCAGCAGUGGGGAAUAUUGGGCAAUGGGCGAAAGCCUGACCCAGCAACGCCGCGUGAAGGAAGAAGGUUUUCGGAUUGUAAACUUCUUUUAUCAGGGACGAAGGAAGUGACGGUACCUGAUGAAUAAGCCACGGCUAACUACGUGCCAGCAGCCGCGGUAAUACGUAGGUGGCAAGCGUUAUACGGAUUUACUGGGUGUAAAGGGCGCGUAGGCGGGGAUGCAAGUCAGAUGUGAAAUCCAUGGGCUUAACCCGUGAACUGCAUUUGAAACUGUAUUUCUUGGGUGUCGGAGAGGUAGACGGAAUUCCUAGUGUAGCGGUGAAAUGCGUAGAUAUUAGGAGGAACACCAGUGGCGAAGGCGGUCUACUGGACGAUAACUGACGCUGAGGCGCGAAAGCGUGGGGAGCAAACAGGAUUAGAUACCCUGGUA